AAUUUCACAACUAACCCAAACACAGAUCCAAUUACAGUCUAAAUACAAUUUAUCCAACAUAAUUCUUCAGCAUCAACAAUCCCAAUUAGGGUCAGAUUAACGGCUUAUCACUACCCAUCACAUAUUAUCCCAUAAUACCCAUUAAUCGACGAUAAACCCCCCUUACCUGAGUUAAUUCGGCGAAUCUUUGAGCUCCAAGCUUUUCUCUCUUCAACCUUCAGCCCU
RNAcentral lists this long non-coding RNA (225 nucleotides) under Lathyrus oleraceus (garden pea). RNAcentral describes it as "Pisum sativum (pea) long non-coding RNA (PSAT_LNC031541)". Lineage: Eukaryota; Viridiplantae; Streptophyta; Magnoliopsida; Fabales; Fabaceae. The record is from RNAcentral.